Molecule: long non-coding RNA, 233 nt
Organism: Diabrotica virgifera virgifera (western corn rootworm)
Lineage: Eukaryota; Metazoa; Arthropoda; Insecta; Coleoptera; Chrysomelidae
Exons: 2
Source: RefSeq, a predicted model, not a curated record
AAGUAACACAGUUAGUGGUGUAGGGAAGCAAACGAAUGUAACACCAAUUGAAAGUCCUUCAACAAGUAGAGAUGCACACAUGUUUCAAUCAUUUGAGAUACCCUUUUGUAGAAGUAUUUGGAACUCAAUUUGGAAGAUAACUAUUAAUAAUUUCAUUUGUAAAGAUACGAUUUGUAAAAAAGUAUAUACAAAGUGGUUUUGCUGGUAUUAAAUAAAUAAAUAAAAAUACGUUG